CAUUAAGCACUCCGGCUGGGGAGUACGGCCCGCAAGGCCGAAACUCAAAGGAAUUGAGGGGGGGCCGCACAAGCGGUGGAUCAUGUGGUUUAAUUUGAAGCAACGCGAAGAACUUUACCAGGUCUUGACAUCCUUUGAAAACCCUAGAGAUAGGGCUUCUCCUUCGGGAGCAGAGUGACAGGUGGUGCAUGGUUGUCGUCAGCUCGUGUCGUGAGAUGUUGGGUUAAGUCCCGCAACGAGCGCAACCCUUGAUCUUAGUUGCCAUCAUUAAGUUGGGCACUUUAAGGUGACUGCCGGUGACAAACCGGAGGAAGGUGGGGAUGACGUCAAAUCAUCAUGCCCCUUAUGACCUGGGCUACACACGUGCUACAAUGGACGGUACAAAGAGCUGCAAGACCGCGAGGUGGAGCUAAUCUCAUAAAACCGUUCUCAGUUCGGAUUGUAGGCUGCAACUCGCCUACAUGAAGCUGGAAUCGCUAGUAAUCGCGGAUCAGCAUGCCGCGGUGAAUACGUUCCCGGGCCUUGUACACACCGCCCGUCACACCACGAGAGUUUGUAACACCCGAAGUCGGUGGGAUAACCUUUUUGGAGCCAGCCGCCUAAGGUGGGACAGAUGAUUGGGGUGAAGUCGUAAACAAGGAGCCUUGAUGGCC
This 653-nucleotide ribosomal RNA is filed under the name Bacillus subtilis. RNAcentral's name for it is "bacterial SSU rRNA". It matches the Rfam family "Bacterial small subunit ribosomal RNA", at positions 858 to 1509 of the family's 1533-position model. The record is from RNAcentral. Lineage: Bacteria; Bacillati; Bacillota; Bacilli; Caryophanales; Bacillaceae.